RNAcentral lists this unclassified non-coding RNA (209 nucleotides) under plant metagenome. RNAcentral's name for it is "partial contains small subunit ribosomal RNA, internal transcribed spacer 1, and 5.8S ribosomal RNA". The record is from RNAcentral.
UCUCCGUUGGUGAACCAGCGGAGGGAUCAUUACUGGAAUCGCAAGAUCCCACAACCCUGUGAACCUACCGAAACGUUGCCUCGGCGGGUGCCCGGCCCCCGCGCCGGGCGCUGCGCCCGCCGGCGGCCCCCUACUCUGUCUCUGCAGCGUGGCAUCGCAGAGUCCCAGAAAACAAGUCAAAACUUUCAACAACGGAUCUCUUGGCUCUA